AUUGAACGCUGGCGGCAGGCUUAACACAUGCAAGUCGACCGUGUGGAGGACGGGUGAGUAAUGUUUGGGACUCUAGCCUAUGGAGGGUGAUAACUACGGGAACCAGUAGCUCAUACCGCUUACCAUCGGAUGAGCACAAGUGGGAUUAGGUAGUUGGGGAGGUAAAGGCUAACCAAGCCGACGAUCUCUAGCUGGUCUGAGAGGAUGACCACCCACACGGGGACCGAGACACGGCCAAGACUCAUACGGGCGGAAGCAGUGGGGAAUAUUGCGCAAUGGGCGCAAACUGAUGCAGCCAUGCCGCGUGUAUGAAGAAGGCCUUCGGGUUGUAAAGUGCUUGCGGUAGGGAGGCGUUAACUACAGAAGAAGCACCGUCUAGCUCCGUGCCAGCAGGCGCGGUAAUAC
This 405-nucleotide ribosomal RNA is filed under the name uncultured bacterium. RNAcentral's name for it is "partial 16S ribosomal RNA". It matches the Rfam family "Bacterial small subunit ribosomal RNA", at positions 30 to 526 of the family's 1533-position model. The record is from RNAcentral.